Molecule: long non-coding RNA, 3103 nt
Filed under: Vitis vinifera (wine grape)
Lineage: Eukaryota; Viridiplantae; Streptophyta; Magnoliopsida; Vitales; Vitaceae
Description: long non-coding RNA (VVIN_LNC004363)
Source: RNAcentral
AUAAACUAAAACAACUAAGAUAUUAUUAUUAAAAAAUAAAGUAAAUCAUAAUUAUACACAUAGAAACACAAUGACAAAGAAAACUUCUGGGGAAAAUUUAACACUUUGCGUCUACCAACUUGUUCCUCCUGUGAACUUAAGAAGAAAGGAAGGAACAAAGAAAUUUAUUAUCCACCUAUGUAAUGGAAGCAAAAGAAACAGCCAUCAAAAGUAGGAAAAGAGGUUAACAUUGUAGACUUGAAAUAUAUGUGGAAAACAUACUAGAACUGAAAAGAUGGAAGUUCUUCAUGAAUUAGCAAUUUGUGAGUAGUAGAAAUGAAUUCCUAGGAAAUGAGAAGCCAUGAGGCCAAUCAACAACUGCUUCUGAUUUCAAGCAUUAUAAUGAAUGAUAACAAACUUAGGUGGUGUUUGUUUUUUGUACUUAAUUCUAAAUAGAACUUUAAUGUUUAAUAAUGUGAAGUAUUAGAUUGUUUGUUUUUUUAAUAUUUUAUUUCUAUUAAAUAUUAAAAAGUAAAGAAAAACCAACACAAUAUUUUUUCUAUUUAGAAAAAGUCAAAUAUUUUGGUUUUUUCUAUUCAGCAAAAAGUUUAUAAUAAGUUAUGAAAAAAUAGAAAAACAAACAACCGAAAGUCUAAAAGCAAAUUGCUUUUAGCAAAAAGCUGAAAAAACAAACACCCUCUUAGUGAUGUGAAGUACCAUUCUAGUAUGUCAAAGUCAGCAGCCAAUCAAGUAGAGUCCUAAGGUGUUAGAUUUCCAGAGCAUUGACAUGCUGAAGUCUUUGAGAGAAGCAUCAACUUUGGACUAGGUCAAGUACUCAAAAUUGCAUGUUACCUUCAUUCUUGUUCUCUAACAAGGGAAUCUCUCAGCAACAAAAAAUUCUAGAAGUUUUCAAGUCACAUGUGAGACAGAUUUCUGCCAUCACUAAAAACUGGAUAUCUAGACUCCAUAUAAAUAGGCAAUGACAUGUCAUGCUUACCACAAUUAAGAAAAAUUGAGGUGUUGGAAACCCUUUUCUGGAAGAGAUGUUAUACAAAAUCAAAAUCCUGAUCAAGACAUGGAUACCAAAUGUUGGUGCUGUUACAUGCUCUGCUAGUGAUACUACCCUUCAACCAUGUCUCUUGAAGCUUCUUCAGCAUGAAUUUCUCCAUCAUGGCUGGAAUAGGAAGAAUGGUCCAACUAAUUCUUCUUGUUUGCUGCUUUUCCUAAACCAGUUUGUCUCUCAAUGAAAAUGAAGAAGACAUGACCCUGUUAUCCAUGUGCUCCAGACGGUUUAGAUUCCCAAGGUCAAGAGACUUGAGAGAAGAGAAUUGACCAACUGUUAGAUGGAUUCGGUAAAAUUUGCUUCUUGCUCAAGUGGUAUGUUGUGGUUCUACUGCAAAUGAGAAUCAAACAUCAAAACUCCAAGCAAGGUAUAACAUCACUUUUAAACAUGUUAAAUAAGAGAGAAUAAAUGAUCAAAAGAAAAAGGAGAGAAAUGAAGGUAAACCUGAAUAACAAACACUUGUUAUUGGUGGACUGCAAAGCCUAAAGAAAAUGUAUGCUGAAAGCAUGAUGCCAUAUUUGAGGAGACAAUUUUCAAACUUCACUAAUCUAAGUAUGUUGUAGAACAAGUUAAGUGAAAAGAAAAAUGAAACAAUUACUUUGUUCAACAGCUACCCUUUAACAUAAUUACAAGCAUGAUCUGUAACCUAUUCGCCAAAUUAUAAUUCAUAACGCCAGAGAUGACUAACAUAAUAAGAAGUGUUUUUGUCUAUUUUGUGUUUUGGUUAAUUAGAGUGAUAUCUUCAAAAUUAACAAAAAGCACAGUUUAUUGUCAAACAGAAAUAUAAACUACUUUAUAAGACUCUUCACAGUUCAGUAUUGUGAAACCAGAAAGAUAUUAUGGAUAUCAUAAUAAAUUGAUAUUUUGACAGACAGCAAGACCACUGCAGAUUUGUAUUCAUAGGUUGUAUAUGUGCACACAGAACAGAGUAUAGCACUCUUAGCUUAAUAACCAUCGUAAAAUAACAAGAAACGAAGCAAUUAGAAGCUGGAGGAUAGAUUGGAUUGCAAACCUGAAAUAUAUUGUGAAUGAGACCAUUGAAGAGCAGGCAUCCUUCUGAUGGCUCCUCAAUAUCAAUUUUAGGAACAUGUAAAAUCUUAGGCCAAUUUUCACAUGUUUCCUUUUAGCACAUUUCUGGUUAGUACCGACAACCAUAGAUUAUCAGUUUCUGUAAAGGGUUGAUUGAACACAUCCCUUGGAACUGAUUUUAAUUUGAGGCAUUGAAAAUGAUGUAGUGCUUCCUACCAUCUGGCAAAGCUACUAGACCAGAAUAACUGAGAGAGUUUCCAGAGAGGUAACAUGUUGAAUCUCCCUUGGGAGACAGACAACUUUGGAAUUGAAACAAUUUCCACGUAUUGUGCACAAGCUUCUAAGUCCUUGAAAUUUCUUGACAGUGUCAUCAUCAUCCUCAUUAUCUGAAAAACCAAGCUUCCUGCUUGACACAAAUAGGCCAUGACAAUCCAUGAUUGACAAAUUGUUGAGACAAGUGAGGGAUCACAGUCCUUCCUCAGGCUGAGAUAUUAGACCACCUCUUCCACAAAUAUCCAGCAUCUGCAAUGAAGAAGAGGCAAACAUUGUUGGCCACAAUAGCUCUUUAUGGACAUCACAAAGGUAUAGCCCCUCAAGACAAGGAAAUGAAGACAGACAAUGGAUGUCAAUCUGAAUGAGAAAGAGAAGAAGAUGAAGACAUUGUCAAGGAUGUCAAGUUAUGGCAAUCAUUGAUCUCUCAUUCUGAAAGACUAAGUUAUGUGAUAUGUCUCUCCUCCACCUUCCUUCCAAUUCAGCAACUCAAAAAUUUGGAGUCCUUUAAAAGAAGGGAAGAAUGGCAUUGCUGAUGAAGACUCCUUCAUAUACUCCAGCUCAGUUAGAUUGCCUAGCUCAGUUAGAAAAUGAAUAAGAGAUAAACGAUCAAGAACAGAAGGAUGAAUGAAAUUGUAAAAUGAAUCUAGUAUGCCCAAGUCAGAAAAUUAGCAUGGUCCUAAAGUGUUAGAUUUUCGAUGCAGUAAUAUGCUGAGGUCCUUGGGAGGGGUACUAACCUUGGAUAAGGGGAAUACAUAUUUG